This 79-nucleotide transfer RNA is filed under the name Podarcis lilfordi (Lilford's wall lizard). RNAcentral describes it as "tRNA.Lys". Lineage: Eukaryota; Metazoa; Chordata; Lepidosauria; Squamata; Lacertidae. The record is from RNAcentral.
GCACAACGUGGGAUAGCUAAGUUGGUAGAGCAUGAGAGACUUAAUCUCAGUGUUGUGGGUUCAAGCCCCAUGUCGGGCA